Molecule: long non-coding RNA, 498 nt
Organism: Mauremys mutica (yellowpond turtle)
Lineage: Eukaryota; Metazoa; Chordata; Testudines; Geoemydidae
Exons: 3
Source: RefSeq, a predicted model, not a curated record
GACUCUUGCUCCAGCUGAAGAGCAGAGAGGACCGGCUGCCUGGGAGAUCAAGCAGAGUACCUGAGGCAGAGCAGGGCUGGAGAAAGGCAGGCAGAGCUCUGGCCUGAGAAACCCAGCUAGAACAUGGGUGUUAGGUGGAUGGAAUAUGUCCAAGUUUUCCAUUGUAGGCAGUGCACGCAGAGUGAAGGAUGGCUUCCCCCACAUAUUCAGGUGGACUAUCAAAAUUAAGUGGACUGUUGUAGGACAAAAUUUGUUGAUUGCCCUGUCCACUCAUGGAGAAGAAUGUGCAGAAAGCUUUGUCCCAUCGGUUUGAAUGCUGGAAAAGGGAAAUCAAGAUAGCGGACAUUUUUCAUCUCUGCUGUUUGGACUUUGACAAGGGCUGGAGCUAAGAAACAAAAGCAGAAGUCCCUAGGGUCAACCUGGGAUUAGCCCUAAAAGACAUUCGGUCCUGAUUACUACAUCUCUGUCACAUUUUGAAAGGCUAUAUUUAGUUGCAAA